This 464-nucleotide ribosomal RNA is filed under the name uncultured bacterium. RNAcentral describes it as "SSU rRNA". It matches the Rfam family "Bacterial small subunit ribosomal RNA", at positions 26 to 523 of the family's 1533-position model. The record is from RNAcentral.
AGAAUCAACGCUGGCGGCGUGCCUAACACAUGCAAGUCGCACGAGAAAGUGGAGCAAUCCAUGAGUACAGUGGCGCACGGGUGAGUAACACGUGAAUCAUCUACCUCCGAGUGGGGAAUAACCUAGAGAAAUCUGGGCUAAUACCGCAUAACACUUACGAGUCAAAGCAGCAAUGCGCUUGGAGAGGAGUUCGCGGCCGAUUAGCUAGUUGGCGGGGUAAUGGCCCACCAAGGCGAUGAUCGGUAUCCGGCCUGAGAGGGCGCACGGACACACUGGAACUGAAACACGGUCCAGACUCCUACGGGAGGCAGCAGUGGGGAAUUUUGCGCAAUGGGGGAAACCCUGACGCAGCAACGCCGCGUGGAGGAUGAAAUCCCUGGGAUGUAAACUCCUUUCGAUAGGGAAGAUAAUGACGGUACCUAUAGGAGAAGCCCCGGCUAACUUCGCGCCAGCAGCCGCGGUAA